CUUCGGUGCCUGCAACUGAGUGGAACAACAAAUGGGUGCCCACCCCAUUUAUCCUCCAGUUGAUCUGUCCCUCUGCCUGGGAUUUCUUAAAAGAAGAAAACAGACACCCUGAAUCUUAAUGAGCUACUGGGAAAGGCUUUAUUCUUCAAGUCAGUUUGUACAGGAAGUGAAGCUGUAAUGUCCAAGUAAUCUGGAGUCGCCAGGGUGGUUUGAGAUUGUGCCAUUUUUUGUGGCUGUUUGAUUGCAUGUGUCCAGUCAAGUCAGCAAGUGAGGCAACUGAGCCAGGUGCAGGUCAGCUGCUCUGCCUCUGCAUCAGAGGUUUCACCAAGAUUACACGGGGGCUAUUUAUUUAGAAAUAAAUGGAUGGGUCAGGACUUAGGAGAGCCUGCUGUUGCCAUGCUUUCCCCAGGCUGUGGGAACAAAGGAUUACCUUAGCCCCUAACAUUACCUCAGCCUAUAUAAAUACUGGGUUAACUGCUUUUCCCCCCCUCUCUCUCUGGUUGUGCCCCUGGAUAUCAGCUCCUGAUAAAUUUGGUCUUGGCUCUAACAAUGCACCUGCAUUCCUUUCAGGGAACAGAUACGCCAGGGUCUGGAAGAGCUGCAGAAAGUCCUUCUGGGAGGUGACACAUAUAUGCAUGAAGGAUUUGAAAGGGUAACUGGAUGCAUGCUAUAGUGCCUCUAAACCCCGUCUGGGCGCUCCUGAACACAGGGCUUGUAUUAUAAGGGUAGGCACAAUCAUUUCUAUUCAGAAAAAUGUAAUGUUGUCAAAACUACUGCUGCUGAUUUAUUUUUGAAAGAUUUGAUAUUAUUAUCGUGAUAAAUUCUUUUGCAAUAAUACUUAUUCUAAACAUUUAUUCUCUUGGAGACAAUGCCUCUAAUGUUGAAGCUGUUCACAAAUUUCACCUACUUCAGAGGAGGCUUUUCAUGAGGGAGAUCAAAGUGUGACUCAGAGCAUUUAGCACUCGCGGUUUGGAAGAUUUCCUGGAAGAAUUUCAGGCUGCUGUAAAUACCCGGGCUCUCGGGUCUCAUGAUUCUUGUCCGACGCUCCCAUCAGAUAGUUCUGCCACAACUUUAUGUCACUUGCUGAGACUGUUGACUUGCAUCGGAGUUGUGAAGGAAAGAAUAUUGCCUUUCUAACAUUUUACAUCUGCUUCUCGUCUUUGUACCAGAGCUCUUCUCUCCUCCCCAUUUGAGUAGGUCUGUGGAGCAAAGUCUGUGCCGAAAGUGAAACUUCACCCAUGAGUCCCGACACAUUGGGCAUUUUUACUCUGUAAUGUGUGAUAACUAUACUUAAAGUUAACCUCAUUUUGAGGGCAGGUGAGGCAAGAUCUGCAGGUAAUUGUUGUGUACUCUUACUUUUUAUACAGUAAUAUCCCAAAGUUAAAUCUUAAAAUGAGUUUACCUUAUUGGCACAUGCCCUGUGUUCACAGAAUCAUGACAGGUUUCCUGGGGAAAUACUCUGAUAAGAGGAGGCUUUGACUGAAUUCGUUACACACGAGAAGAUGAAAGAAAGCUUGUCAUGGGCUACGUAGCAACCAAGGUAUUUUCAAAACACACCUGCAUCAUUGCUAGCAUGGACAAGAGGUUUUGGUCUGAUAAACCCUUUCCUGCACCACGUCAAGCACACCAGGGACUGAGUUCUCACCAACUUCCACCCAGAAUGCACCACUUCAUUAUCUCAAGGAACAGACUCCAAAGCUUGCGCCCGUACGGAAAACGCAUUCAAGCUCUGUGCCGAGGAAUUCCUUCUUACUUUGCUUACCCUACUGCUGGAUCAAACUUCUUAAGGCAAGAUGUUGCCUGUUUGAAAGUUAAGAUUAAGGAACUGCCUGUCUAUUACUGUGAUUAAUUAUUCCGGAUGAAGUACCGAGGAAGAAAAUUCCCAGACCUGUGGACCCACAAGCAAGGGUUUUUCUCCUCCACAAUCUUCUCUUGAUGACAUUUUCAGUCACUUCUUCUGCUCUGUCUGGAGAUGAUUAUCUUUCAGUAAAAUUUCCCAUCAACCUCU
Calidris pugnax (ruff) is the source of this 2008-nucleotide long non-coding RNA. RefSeq lists it as uncharacterized. The record is from RefSeq and is a predicted model, not a curated record. The transcript has 4 exons. Lineage: Eukaryota; Metazoa; Chordata; Aves; Charadriiformes; Scolopacidae.